GGGUUGUGAGGUUAAGCGACUAAGCGUACACGGUGGAUGCCCUGGCAGUCAGAGGCGAUGAAGGACGUGCUAAUCUGCGAUAAGCGCCGGUAAGGUGAUAUGAACCGUUAUAACCGGCGAUUUCCGAAUGGGGAAACCCAGUGUGAUUCGUCACACUAUCAUUAACUGAAUCCAUAGGUUAAUGAGGCGAACCGGGGGAACUGAAACAUCUAAGUACCCCGAGGAAAAGAAAUCAACCGAGAUUCCCCCAGUAGCGGCGAGCGAACGGGGAGGAGCCCAGAGCCUGAAUCAGCAUGUGUGUUAGUGGAAGCGUCUGGAAAGGCGCGCGAUACAGGGUGACAGCCCCGUACACAAAAGCGCAUGUGCUGUGAGCUCGAUGAGUAGGGCGGGACACGUGGUAUCCUGUCUGAAUAUGGGGGGACCAUCCUCCAAGGCUAAAUACUCCUGACUGACCGAUAGUGAACCAGUACCGUGAGGGAAAGGCGAAAAGAACCCCGGCGAGGGGAGUGAAAAAGAACCUGAAACCGUGUACGUACAAGCAGUGGGAGCACAGGUUUGGGGUGUGACUGCGUACCUUUUGUAUAAUGGGUCAGCGACUUAUAUUCUGUAGCAAGGUUAACCGUAUAGGGGAGCCGGAGGGAAACCGAGUCUUAAUUGGGCGUUAAGUUGCAGGGUAUAGACCCGAAACCCGGUGAUCUAGCCAUGGGCAGGUUGAAGGUUGGGUAACACUAACUGGAGGACCGAACCGACUAAUGUUGAAAAAUUAGCGGAUGACCUGUGGCUGGGGGUGAAAGGCCAAUCAAACCGGGAGAUAGCUGGUUCUCCCCGAAAGCUAUUUAGGUAGCGCCUCGUGAAUUCAUCUCCGGGGGUAGAGCACUGUUUCGGCUAGGGGGCCAUCCCGGCUUACCAACCCGAUGCAAACUGCGAAUACCGGAGAAUGUUAUCACGGGAGACACACGGCGGGUGCUAACGUCCGUCGUGAAGAGGGAAACAACCCAGACCGCCAGCUAAGGUCCCAAAGUCAUGGUUAAGUGGGAAACGAUGUGGGAAGGCCCAGACAGCCAGGAUGUUGGCUUAGAAGCAGCCAUCAUUUAAAGAAAGCGUAAUAGCUCACUGGUCGAGUCGGCCUGCGCGGAAGAUGUAACGGGGCUAAACCAUGCACCGAAGCUGCGGCAGCGA
This 1179-nucleotide ribosomal RNA is filed under the name Salmonella enterica subsp. enterica serovar Senftenberg. Its description in RNAcentral is "bacterial LSU rRNA". It matches the Rfam family "Bacterial large subunit ribosomal RNA", at positions 1 to 1211 of the family's 2925-position model. Lineage: Bacteria; Pseudomonadati; Pseudomonadota; Gammaproteobacteria; Enterobacterales; Enterobacteriaceae. The record is from RNAcentral.